This 253-nucleotide ribosomal RNA is filed under the name uncultured bacterium. RNAcentral describes it as "partial 16S ribosomal RNA". It matches the Rfam family "Bacterial small subunit ribosomal RNA", at positions 524 to 776 of the family's 1533-position model. The record is from RNAcentral.
UACGUAGGGUCCGAGCGUUGUCCGGAAUUAUUGGGCGUAAAGGGCUCGUAGGCGGUUUGUCGCGUCGGGAGUGAAAACUCAGGGCUCAACCCUGAGCGUGCUUCCGAUACGGGCAGACUAGAGGUAUGCAGGGGAGAACGGAAUUCCUGGUGUAGCGGUGGAAUGCGCGGAUAUCAGGAGGAACACCGGUGGCGAAGGCGGUUCUCUGGGCAUUACCUGACGCUGAGGAGCGAAAGCAUGGGGAGCGAACAGG